Molecule: transfer RNA, 69 nt
Filed under: Ictidomys tridecemlineatus (thirteen-lined ground squirrel)
Lineage: Eukaryota; Metazoa; Chordata; Mammalia; Rodentia; Sciuridae
Description: Spermophilus tridecemlineatus (thirteen-lined ground squirrel) tRNA
Rfam family: tRNA
About the family: Transfer RNA (tRNA) molecules are approximately 80 nucleotides in length.
Source: Rfam by way of RNAcentral
GGGGCUGUAGCUCAAUGGCAGAGCGCUCGCCUAGCAUGCGUGAGGCACUGGGUUCGAUCCUCAGCACCA